RNAcentral lists this long non-coding RNA (2497 nucleotides) under Trifolium pratense (red clover). Its description in RNAcentral is "long non-coding RNA (TPRA_LNC005846)". The record is from RNAcentral. Lineage: Eukaryota; Viridiplantae; Streptophyta; Magnoliopsida; Fabales; Fabaceae.
UUGGACUUAAUCUUCGACUCGGAGAACCGAUCUCUGGAGACUCUGGACUCCGACACAGAUCUUUGAAGCUUCGUAGCGGAAUUCGUUGGACUCCAAUAAGGUUAGGGAAGACAGACAGGGACGGUGGCGGCGGCGGAACCGGUGAGAUGAAGAAGCAGAAGAAGAACAGUAACAAAUUUUUCUUUUGAUUUUUUAUUAAAAAAAAUAUUGCAGUAAUGUUUUGGGACCUAAUCUCAACCGUCACAUAUUUUUUAUACACAUGGCACUAAUCCAUGUAAUCAAUGGGGGUAAAUGGACAAUUCAUCAAAUGGAGGGAACCUGAACUUUUUAAAUGCAACUCUCAGGGCUAAAAGAUCUUUAAAUACAACUCUCAGGGCUAAAAAAAUAAAUAACAUAAAAUAAACUAUUUAUUUAAAAUAAACUAUUAAACUAUACUUUAUUCUGUCAGAGGAGCAUUAGUGACGAUCUUCAAAAACUCUCGCGAUUCUUCACUCAGCGUUUUCAAGUUGAUUUCAGAAUCAAUUGAUUGUGGUAUUUAGUGAUUUUGCCUUCAGAAAUUUGACUUACGGUAAAUAUUAACUUUGAUUAGGGUUUUGAUUUUUCUAAUUUGAGGUUUUGUAUGUUUAGGAUUUGAUAUUUCUGAUUUGAUUUUAAUUUGAUUUUCGCUUUGAUUAGGGUCUUCCUCAUGUCCAAUUCUUGCAUCUCAAUGACUGUUGCUGCAUCUCCUGUUGGAUCUACCAGCAAUUUUCACACUUCGUGGACCAUAGGUUGGUGUUCCUAUAUUGCAAUACUUUACUUCCUUAUAGCUUUUAUAUACAAAUUGAGGAUUUUAAUUUGAUUCAUGCUUAAUNNNNNNNNNNNNNNNNNNNNNNNNNNNNNNNNNNNNNNNNNNNNNUCUUAGGAGAAUUUGAAUAAAUUUAUUAUGCUUUAGGAGAUUCAGUACUAAAUUGUCCUUAUCAAAUAUGCUACAAUUUGGUAUGAGUCACAUAUUAACUGAAGUUAUUAAUUGAAGUUAUUUCCUGCGGCAUGUGCAUUUUUAAGUGAGGCUAACUUUGAUGUUAGUAGCAGUAAGUGGUUUCAUCAUUUUAGUGAGGCAGAGGCUAACUUUGAUGACAAUUUUAUUUUUGAGUUGUAGAAGCUGCUCAGAGAUGUCAAUGUGAGCCUCUAAUUUCAACAACUCUUCAAAUUUAAAGCAUUUAACAUUGGAGUGUUUCCACAGUCUUCUCUAAUAACUUGAAAACCUUAGCCAUAAAAAGUCCUUAUUUCUUUUGUCUCCCACUUCGCCCACACUCGUUUAGUUCUCCAACUUCAUCUCUUCUUAUUUCUCCUUGCAUCUUUAUCCUGUUUGUCAUCUCCAUCAUAAAAAACUCAAGGUAAGGACUCUGGUUCUUCUAACUUUUGUUUUUUUUAAGAUUUGGUUCACUAGUUUAGAGAGAAUCAGAAUUGGAUUGUUUGCUCAUUUCUUUGCUUUUGUGUUUAUGCCUUUAGUUCCUAUUAGUUUUGAUAAUAAUGUCUCUGUUGUGUUUGAUAGAAUGCUUUAAUAAAGAUAGUAACAUGUUUGCAAAUUAUUGUCAUGUGCACGGAAUAAAAUACCUUCUUCAAAUUAUUGAUUGUUCGACACAGGCAGCUCAGAUUCAUAUGUGCUAAGUUUCUAAAACCGAUUUGAAUUUCGUAACUAUUAAUAUUUUGAUGUCAACUGAAUGAUGCCUUCAGUACUCGUUGGGUUCUUCUGUGAUAGUUCGCAUUUAGUGUUCAAUAAAUGCUAUAAUCUGUUUCACUUGUAAUUCUGUUUCAAUCUAUGUUGUAAACUGUACCAAAAACAAGUCAUAUCGGUUACUCUCUUGUAUGCUUUCACAGGGAAUCAUGUAUGCAGUCAUGAAUUUAAAGACCUACAUUUGAGGGGAUUUAUUUUGAUGGCUAAAUAAAUUUGCAUUUUUUUUGUAAUGUGGAUCAAAAUUCUGCCUCUGUUUAUGAACAUAUUUAUAAUUUGAACUGUGAAAAAAAAAAAUGAAAUGUAGAUUGGAACCCUACACACUUGGAUUUUCACUUGUUCUCAUGCUGGAGCUAUCGGCGAGAUUGAAUAGAUCGGCAGAACGCAGCUGGACUGAACCAUGGUGGUGCAGUUAAAAUGAUGAAGCAUGAACUGGAUUCCUCUUAAUGGUAUGUUAGCAUGAACUGGAUUCCUUCUCAAAGGUUUAAAAGACAGACUGAUAUUGUUAGAUGUUUAUAUGUUUUCCAUUUUAUUCACUAUGACUGGUCAUGUACAUAUAUUCAUAUGUUUCAUGUUUUCCCUUAUACAGUUGCAGAGCAGAUUUGGAUGUCCAUCCAAGAAAACAACCAAUAAGUCAUAUGUUUCUUCUCAAUGUACAUAUAUUCAUUUGUUUCUUCUCAAUGUAGUUUUUUUAGAUAUUUAUAUUGUUAUAUAUUGUUUUUCCAUUUCAGUUGUAGGAUAUUAGAUUAUUAAAGAUUAAUAUGUCUCUCAGAAGUACAAUGUUGG